UACGGGGGGGGCAAGCGUUGUUCGGAAUUACUGGGCGUAAAGGGCUCGUAGGCGGCCAACUAAGUCAGACGUGAAAUCCCCAGGCUUAACCUGGGAACUGCGUCUGAUACUGGAUGGCUUGAAUUCGGGAGAGGGAUGCAGAAUUCCAGGUGUAGCGGUGAAAUGCGUAGAUAUCUGGAGGAACACCGGUGGCGAAGGCGGCAUCCUGGACCGACACUGACACUGAGGAGCGAAAGCCAGGGGAGCAAACGGG
This 253-nucleotide ribosomal RNA is filed under the name uncultured bacterium. Its description in RNAcentral is "partial 16S ribosomal RNA". It matches the Rfam family "Bacterial small subunit ribosomal RNA", at positions 524 to 776 of the family's 1533-position model. The record is from RNAcentral.